UGAAAAAAAAAAAAAAAAAAACAUUAAAGUCGUCAACAAUGCGACGUCACCUGCCUGGCUGACUUGUGGGUUGGGGGCAUUUGUCUUGCUUCCGUAAUUUUGUUUACCAUUUCUGCCUCAUUCCCUUGACUGUGACCCUUCGUUCGUGGCGCAGAUUAAGAAGAUGGAAGCAUGGACCAGUCAGCACCGUCAGCUCUCAUGUGGAAGACAGACGCAGCAGCCCCGAGGGGUUCCCGCGGUCCCGGUCUGGCCUGUUGCAAGACAUAGCCACCUCAGGAUAGGAUCAUCCAGCAGAAUGUAACCAGCUGACUUACCAAUAUGCUGCUGCCACCACCUCAAAGGCCAUACAACAACAAUAAAAAAAUAUCUUCGUUUAUUAGAUCAAGAUAUGUGUCUCCUCUCACCCACCUGAAAGUGAUGACUGACAUGGCAGCAGGACCCACGUAUGCACACACUACAUUUGUGCGUUUGUCUCCUACAGCCAGCACACACCCUGUCUGCUGGUGCUAAUGGUCAGGGUUCCUCCUGCCUGAUACCAAGACUGUUGGAGUCUGCCUCUGGGAGAGGCAGUGAAGGGUAUUUUUGGGACCCUUGUUGAGUGCUAUUACUGCUGCUAUCUACUAUCUUGUGGGAGCUUUGGUAGCCCAACAAACAUCACAUGGCCAUGUGUAAAACACAAGAGACAAGCAUGGAUGGAGGUCACCGAGAAGCUGAAUAGCGUGUUCCCUUGUGUUCGACGAUCAAGAGAGCAAGUGGAAAAGAAGUGGCAAAAUCUCCUAUCAAAGGGGAAGCGUGCACUUUCAGCAAGAAAGCAGUAGCACCAUAGAACUGGUGGUGGUCCUUCACAGAAGACUACUGCUGGAGAUGACACCUUGACAGACCUGAUUGCCGACAUUGUGGGACCCGACAAUGUCUGUAUUACAGGGGUUACACUGGAUGGUCCUGCUGAUGCAAGUUUGAUUGGACUAGCUGACACUAACAGAUUGGAUUAUGAGGUGACAAUGGAGUUGACAGAAGAUGAUCCAGUCAUGAACUCCGCUCCUCAAGCUCUGCCACAACCUCCUCAAUGUAAUGUAGGUUCAGCUAGUGUAGCUCUUCCUAUUGAAUUGUCCACAUUGGCAAGCAGAGGGCCUCCUUCUCAACCACCCAUGAACCCUGUAUUUGAAGCAGGACUUCACAGUGAGCAGCAUGCAGAGGCAGUGAGGAAAGUGCUGCAUCAAAUGGAAGAAGCUUACAGGGCUCAAACAAUUGCUUAGCAGAACAUUGCCAAAUACUUUUCUAAAGAUUAAGCAAGUGUGGUUGAGAAAAUAAAAAGCUGCAAUAGUA
Molecule: long non-coding RNA, 1326 nt
Organism: Portunus trituberculatus (swimming crab)
Lineage: Eukaryota; Metazoa; Arthropoda; Malacostraca; Decapoda; Portunidae
Exons: 7
Source: RefSeq, a predicted model, not a curated record